AUUGAACGCUGGCGGCGUGCCUAACACAUGCAAGUCGAGCGGUAACAGGUGUAGCAAUACAUGCUGACGAGCGGCGAACGGGUGAGUAAUGCUUCGGAAUCUGCCCAUGUAGUGGGGAAUAACCAGCCGAAAGGUUGGCUAAUACCGCAUACGACCCUUGCCCACAAGGCAAAGGUGAAAGCAGGGGAUCGCAAGACCUUGCGCUAUUGGAUGAGCCGAAGUCGGAUUAGCUAGUUGGUAGGUAACGGCCUACCAAGGCGACGAUCCGUAGCUGGUCUGAGAGGACGACCAGCCACACUGGGACUGAGACACGGCCCAGACUCCUACGGGAGGCAGCAGUGGGGAAUAUUGGACAAUGGGGGCAACCCUGAUCCAGCGACGCCGCGUGUGUGAAGAAGGCCUGCGGGUUGUAAAGCAC
RNAcentral lists this ribosomal RNA (418 nucleotides) under uncultured bacterium. Its description in RNAcentral is "bacterial SSU rRNA". It matches the Rfam family "Bacterial small subunit ribosomal RNA", at positions 30 to 433 of the family's 1533-position model. The record is from RNAcentral.